CCUACGGGAGGCAGCAGUGAGGAAUAUUGGUCAAUGGACGAGAGUCUGAACCAGCCAAGUAGCGUGAAGGAUGACUGCCCUAUGGGUUGUAAACUUCUUUUAUAAAGGAAUAAAACGAGGCACGUGUGCCUUUUUGCAUGUACUUUAUGAAUAAGGAUCGGCUAACUCCGUGCCAGCAGCCGCGGUAAUACGGAGGAUCCGAGCGUUAUCCGGAUUUAUUGGGGUUAAAGGGAGCGUAGAUGGGUUGUUAAGUCAGUUGUGAAAGUUUGCGGCUCAACCGUAAAAUUGCAAUUGAUACUGGUAGUCUUGAGUACAGUUGAGGUAUGCGGAAUGCGUGGUGUAGCGGUGAAAUGCUUAGAUAUCACGAAGAACCCCGAUUGCGAAGGCAGCUUACUAAACUGUGACUGACAUUGAUGCUCGAAAGUGUGGGUAUCAAACAGGAUUAGAUACCCUUGUAGUC
Molecule: ribosomal RNA, 460 nt
Filed under: uncultured bacterium
Lineage: Bacteria
Description: partial 16S ribosomal RNA
Rfam family: Bacterial small subunit ribosomal RNA
Source: RNAcentral